UACAGAGGUCUCAAGCGUUGUUCGGUGUCACUGGGCUUAAAGGGCGCGUAGGUGGCUGUGCAAGUAAGGUGUGAAAGCCCUCGGCUUACCCGGGGAAUUGCGCCUUAAACUGCAUGGCUUGAGGGAUUCAGGGGAAUGGGGAACUCCAGGUGUAGCGGUGAAAUGCGCAGAUAUCUGGGGGAAGGCCGGCGGCGAAGGCGCCAUUCUGGGAAUUUCCUGACACUGAGGCGCGAAAGCGUGGGGAGCAAACAGG
This 253-nucleotide ribosomal RNA is filed under the name uncultured bacterium. Its description in RNAcentral is "partial 16S ribosomal RNA". It matches the Rfam family "Bacterial small subunit ribosomal RNA", at positions 524 to 776 of the family's 1533-position model. The record is from RNAcentral.